CUUAACCGGCUCAAGCUCGAGCUAGACACUGCCGACUUCAAGUGCCUGAGAAACAACUUGGGCAAACAUCUUAUUGUUUAGGCCACUUGGAGGACAUGCAAGUUUUUUUGUAGCAACAGUUAAAGCAAGCUUGAUGCUGACGUCAGUACAGUUCAUUAUUUAUUAAGCAAGUUAUAGCUUAAUGGAUCUGAUGACUGCCCUCAGUUUCAAAAGGAGUGGACCCUCUUCUCACUGAUGCCAUGGACCAGCCCUGAGACAGACGGAGAUGGAGCUAAGGAAACAGGCAGUGGUGCCUCGUGACCGGCUAGUGGACGGUCAAGGGUUUCGUGGUUCACGGCGCAACGGCUGUUGGUGCAUAUUCUAUAAGAUGACCUCAGCGCAGGAGGAGAGGAACCAUCGGUUAACUAUGAAGGGACAGCUCGAGGAAUGCUGGAAUGUCCGCGUCAGCAUCGGCCUGAUCCGGCAGUUUGACGUGUGUCGAUGGAUGUCCCCUCUGUUGUUACGCGUGUAGAUAACGCCUGGGACUCCUGGGGAUCGGACCAGCAGGAUGUGAAGCUGGGCAUCGUGCUGUGCUGAGGACUUUGGACUUAAGCCUGAAGGUAAGGAAGGGAGAGUUAAGCAAAGAAUGGGUAUCCAUCCUUUGGAAGGGCUGUUCCCGUUGGUGGUAUGAAAAAGUGUUUGGACGGAAGCAGCUGGGAGCAGGAGGCCGGGUAGGAUCCGCUGUGCUCAUUCAGGAAAGAGAAAGCAGGAGUCGUGGGAGAAACGAGCCUCUGGAGGCUGUAGGUGUGCCCAGCAGGACGUGGUGCCCUGUUGUACUUGAAGGAGGAGGAGAGGGAACUCACCUGCCAUGCCUUCCUGGUUUCCAAUUUUGGCACUAGGCAAGCUCCUCCCUCAGAAGGAGGGGAAGUUUGGGGUGGAAAGAACGGAUUUAGUUCAAGACUGGUUGGAUUGGAAGUGUUGGCGGAAAUGCAGCUAAGAGAAGGGAGUGGGUCGUGAGAGAGAUGUAGGGCAUAAGUCACGGAAGAGGGUGCUAUCAUUCAGGAAGGUGGCUGCUCGUCAUAACGUGGAGGGGGUGGACCAUCUUCCCUGGUCAUUUUUUUCCCUGUAACUGAGCCCAAGAGGCACAGGCCCCGGAGUGCCGUGGGUUUGUCCUGAAUCCAGCCAAGAGGAAGAAAUGGCAAAUAAAUACGACAGGAAGCAAAGGCCAGGGUAGGUAAGAGAGGAGCACACGAGUCUAUCUGCCAAGAGCUGGGAGCUGUGAUCUCCCCGAGGGGUGCCAAGUGCAGGGGAAGAAGGCGGGGCCUCUGUGAGCCAGAGAUGCUAAUGCUAUUCUGGGUUGGCCGGCAGAAAUGGGGGCCCCUUCAGCCCUCUUCCGGGGUUCAGCCCCGCCCCACCGUUGUCAUCACUAUAGGCUGGGACCCGGGAGGCCGGGCUCCUUGGUGCGGCCGCUGUGAAGGCUGGCCAGAACUUCAGGGCAGCGGACAGGCGUGACGGAGACACCUGGGUCCCUGGGAUGCACGGGGCACAGGAGGCUGGAAGGGAGAGUGGACAGUGGCUCCGAACAUCUCAGUUCCCUGAAAGAUGUUGGGCUGCAGGAGAUGAGGAGUAGAAAAUACUGGACUGGGGAGAAAGCGCUGAAGCCCUGGGAAGGGUGGCGGGAGGGGAAGCUACGGGUGGGCCAGGGAAGGCUGGGCGCAGGGCUCCGGGCCAAGGAGAGGCAGAGGCCCUGACGCUCCUCUCCAGGCUGUGCGUCCAUCCUCCCCCAGGCCCCGACACGAGCCACUGGCCCACGUCAAACUGGACCGCCCCACAGGAGUUUGUAAUCCUGGGUUUCUCCGGGCAGCCCCUGGGGCCCCGGGUGCUGCCCUUUGCCCUCCACCUGCCCCUCUGUUUGCCACGCUGGCAGGAAGCCUGCUGAU
Molecule: long non-coding RNA, 1919 nt
Filed under: Delphinapterus leucas (beluga whale)
Lineage: Eukaryota; Metazoa; Chordata; Mammalia; Artiodactyla; Monodontidae
Description: lncRNA (ENSDLEG00000020881.1)
Source: RNAcentral